This is an RNA transcript of Magnolia sinica, 2824 nucleotides long. RefSeq lists it as uncharacterized. NCBI's taxonomy places the organism in Eukaryota, Viridiplantae, Streptophyta, Magnoliopsida, Magnoliales, Magnoliaceae. The record is from RefSeq and is a predicted model, not a curated record. The transcript is spliced from 12 exons.
CCGCUCACAGAAUCAGAAUCAAGAAAAAAAGAAGAAGAGAGUACUGUAAAUGGUACGCCUCAUCGGACUUUCUUAUUUCCCUCUCUUAUCCAGUCGUCUUCUCCUCUUCCCAUAUCCUACUCUCCCUCUCGUGUCUGCUGCAAACGCCCGCAACAACAACAACACCAGGAACGGAUCCUGCCCGCUCUCCUUCUCUGCAGAAGCAACAACAGCAGAAGCCAUGAAAGCUCCAGUAGCGAAGAAGGUGAAUCACGUGAUGGAGACGUUCGGUGACGUUAGGAACGACGAUUAUUACUGGCUUCGAGACGAUUCACGCUCCGAUCCGGAAGUCCUUUCCUACUUGAAAGAGGAGAAUGCGUAUACAGAUUUCGUUAUGGCAGGGACCAAAACAUUUGAAAAUGAGCUUUAUGCGGAGCUAAGAGGAAGAAUCAAGGAAGAUGAUAUUUCUGCGCCUGUCCGCAAAGGGUCUUAUUACUACUAUGAAAGGACUUUGGAGGGGAAGGAGUAUGUUCAACGCUGUAGGCGCCUUAUCCCCAAUGGCGGUGCUCCCCCUUCUGUUCAUGACAUUAUGCCAAUGGGACCUGGUGCACCGGAAGAGCAUGUGAUCUUGGAUGAGAAUGUUAAGGCUCAAGAGCAUGGGUAUUAUAGUAUUGGGGCUUUUGAAGUGAGUCCAAAUAAUAAGCUGGUUGCAUAUGCAGAAGACACUAAAGGAGACGAGAUUUAUACUGUUCAUGUCAUUGAUGCUGAGACUCAAACUCCUGUUGGGAAUCCUCUAAAGAGUGUAACGUCAUACCUUGAGUGGGCCGGUGAUGAGACUCUUGUUUACAUUACAAUGGACGAGAUACUCCGGCCAGACAAGGUGUGGUUGCACAAGUUGGGAUCUGAUCAAUCAAGUGAUCAUUGCCUCUAUCAUGAGAAAGAUGACAUGUUCUCUCUUGAUCUUCAAGCGUCCGAAAGCAAGAAAUAUUUGUUUGUUGGAUCUGAAAGUAAAAAUACUCGGUUUGUAUUUUACUUAGACGUUUCGAAGCCAGAAGAUGGGCUUAUGGUGUUGACUCCUCGUGUCUAUGGCAUUGACACAUCAGUUAGUCACCGCGGAAACCAUUUCUUUAUAAAGAAAAGAAGCGAUGAGUUCUUUAACUCAGAAUUACUUGCUUGUCCACUGGACAACCUAUCUGCCACAACAGUUCUGCUUCCUCACAGGGAAAGUGUGAAAAUACAGGACAUGCAACUUUUUAGUGAUCAUCUUGUUGUAUACGAGCGUGAAGAUGGUCUACCUAAAGUAACUAUCUAUAGCCUUCCACCCGUUGGGGAAGUGAUUGAAAGCCUUCAGGGUGGUCGGGCCGUUGAUUUUAUUGAUCCUAUAUACUCAGUGGACCCUGAAGAAGCAGAAUUUUCAUCAAGCGUUUUGCGUUUUUCUUAUAGCUCACUGAAGACUCCCCAUUCUGUUUAUGACUAUGACUUGAACACGGGCAUUUCUGUUUUGAAGAAGAUUAAGGCAGUAUUGGGUGGUUUUGAUGCAUCAAGAUAUGCGACUGAAAGGCAAUGGGCCGUUGCUGCAGAUGGCACUCGAGUACCUAUUUCAAUCGUUUAUCGAAAGGAUCUUGUGAAACUUGAUGGAUCUGGCCCAUUACUACUUCAUGGCUAUGGUUCAUAUGAGAUAUGCAUAGAUCCCAGUUUCAGAGCAACAAGGUUGUCUUUAAUAGACCGUGGCUUUAUUUAUGCAAUCGCUCAUGUUCGUGGAGGAGGUGAAAUGGGGAGGAAGUGGUAUGAAAAUGGGAAGUUGUUAAAGAAAAGGAACACCUUUACAGAUUUUAUUGCAUGUGCGGAGUAUUUAAUAGAGAACAAGUAUUGUUCAAAAGAAAAGCUAUGCAUUGAGGGAAGGAGUGCGGGUGGUCUGCUUAUUGGUGCUGUUCUUAAUAUGCGGCCGGAUUUGUUCAAGGCAGCAGUGGCGGGAGUUCCAUUUGUAGAUGUAGUCACUACAAUGCUUGAUCCAAGUAUCCCGUUGACAACAUCAGAAUGGGAGGAAUGGGGCGAUCCUCGAAAGGAGGAGUUCUAUUUCUAUAUGAAAUCCUAUUCUCCAGUUGAUAAUAUUAAACCACAAAAUUAUCCGAAUAUUCUUGCUACAGCUGGUUUAAAUGACCCCCGUGUUUUAUAUUCUGAACCUGCAAAGUUCGUGGCGAAAUUGAGGGAGAUGAAGACUGAUGACAACAUGUUAUUGUUUAAGUGCGAAUUUGGUGCUGGGCACUCCUCGAAGUCAGGAAGAAGUUAAUAGGAUUUCAAGACAGGAUGAGGUGGGAGAGGCUCCUUGAAUACAAAUUGAGGCUGUUGCUGUUGAAACCUAACUUUCAGACCAUUAGGAAAUCCACAAGCUAUUUUUCUGGCAGUCUGGUAUUUACACGGAGACUGCAUCCAGAGAUUUGAGAAGCUACAGGAAGAUGCCUUCACAUAUGCAUUCGUGCUGAAGGCAUUGGACAUGGUCCAGGCUGCUGGCUCUGAGUAAUAGGAUCGCAGCCUAAGGAAUCCUCCCAGAAUGUGGGUCAAUGCAACAACCUGACAGCUGACUCGUGUCUUCACCAUUGGUGUUAGACAAGAAUACUUUUUUUAAAAAAAACCCUUCUUUGGCUGAUGGAGCAAAAUUGAAAAUACAGCCCCACUGUUGUUAUCUUGGAGAAGUGUCAAAUUGAUUCAGGGGGUUCAACCACAUAUUAAUAUUUGUCUAUUUAUCCAGCUCCAGAAUACUGUGACAAGAUCGACAUCUUAAAAUAGCUUAGUUUGUACUUGGUUCUAGCUUUCCCCCAAUAUAAUUUUCAAGGUGUUAUGGUCA